GAUGAACGCUGGCGGCGUGCCUAACACAUGCAAGUCGAACGAAAAGACGCGGAUCUUGCUCCUCUCACGUUAGCGGAGGACGGGUGAGUCACACGUGGAUAACCUACCUAUCAGACUGGGAUAACUUCGGGACACCGGAGCUUACACCGGAUAAUCUCUUGAACCGCAUGGUUCAAUAGUGAAAGACGGUUUUGCUGUCUGUAAUAGAUGGAUCCGCGCCGUUUUAGCUGGUUGGUAGGGUAACGGCUUAGCAAGGCAAGGAUGCGUGGCCGACGUGAGAGGGUGAUCGGCGACACUGGAACUGAGACGGCGACCAGGGUCCUACGGGAGGCAGCAGUAGGGAAUCGGCCGCAAUGGGCGGAAGCCUGACGGAGCAGCGCCGAGCGAGAGAUGAAGGUCUUCGGAGCGUAAAACUCGGUUAUUAGGGAAGAACAAAUGUGUAAGGAACUAUGCACGUCGUGACGGUACCUGGUCAGAAAGCCACGGCUAACUACGUG
Molecule: ribosomal RNA, 497 nt
Filed under: uncultured bacterium
Lineage: Bacteria
Description: partial 16S ribosomal RNA
Rfam family: Bacterial small subunit ribosomal RNA
Source: RNAcentral